UGUACUUUAUUAUUGUCAAUGACUUGGCACACAAAAAUGAAUCAUCCCAUGGAUAAGGCCUGUUAGACGUGAUACCAAUUCUGAGACCUGGUUUUUAAAACGGAUAAUAGUAACCAAAAGCAUCACUACUAAAAUCACCAUCACUACUAAAAUCACCAUCACCACCCACAUUGGCCACAUGCCUGUGUCACCACUGUGCUCUUCUUGGACAGUGACUGUGAGAGUGACAGCAUCUGGUGUUCCCCGCUCUUUAGAGCCAAAGAAACACUGGUAAUUGCCCUGAUCAGAAAGACGUACGUCUGGCAGGGUGAUGGAAAGGUCUCCCUGUCGGUAAGCAUCUUUGGACACCGACACCCUGUUCUCAAACCCAGGGCCGUAGGUUAUAUUCCCUGCCGUGACAUUCAGCACAGUCUGUCCAUCCUUUUCCCAAUAGAUGUGUACCUCACUGUUGGGAGUUUGUUUUUCAGUUGAGCCGUGGCAAGUAAGUGUGGCCCUAUCUCCAACAUGGUAAGAUAUUUUAGUGGGGAUCAAAACUACUAGUUUUACAUCCUGUAAAACCUCGUUGGUGCAGACACACUCAUACCACCCCUGGUCAUUGUACUCAACUGAGGAGAUGGUGAGAGAGAGGCUUUCAUUCUGGAGUUUAACCCUGUUGUCAUAACCCUCUCCUGUAGUUAAAACCUCUCGAUCGAGUUUAGCCACCAUCUUCUUGUUAUCAUGACGCCUCCACUCAAGACUACCGUGACACAAUCCGGAGCAGGAGAGUGAAAUUGAACCGUUCAAAAUCACUGUUUUAGUUAUAAUAGUGGAAUAUGAGGACGACAUUGCAUUGAGAAGGACAAGCAGGAACACAGCAAGUGUUACCUUCCAACGCAUCGUUAGAUAGUACUAGUACCGAGGCAAUAGUAUUGUUCGAUAGUACCAGUUUUAUUGUAAAUAUUGUAGUAUAUAGCAGUAUAUAUUGUCAGUGGCGAGCUAGCUACCUACCUUGCAUACAAUCAAUUUACAUUUCGCUCCAACAGGCGGAUGCUUUCGCAACUUUCCUGUCGUGCUCAGCAAUCUCCAACUGUACAGAUUAUAUAUACAUCGUCGUAUAUAGCAGUAUUUAUCGUCAUCGGGGAGUUAGCUGCCCACUUGGCACCGAGAUCAGUAAUAGUAUCAAAGCCGUAUCAGUAUAAUUAAAUAUAUCGUUAUCCGUAACUUCUAAACAGUUAUAUUUCGAUCCAGUAGGGUGAUGCUUCCGUAAUUUUCCGUGUCGUGCUCAGCAAUCUCCAACGGAACAGUAUUGGGAAAUAUAGAACCAACCUGGAUUUAUCCCAUGUCUCAACUACCCUGCUGUUCCACAGGGUGGAUGGAGAAAACGACCAGGUAAUAUACUCUCUGGCUACUCUGGAUCCCCCAAGCCACAAGACUCCUGAACAGCUCCAUCACUUCUACAACCGGUACUUCCAGUAGGGCCACAUUGAGCUUCAAUAAACUUUUCCAGCUUUCAAAACCACCAGCACUACCCCCUGGACCAGCCACGGACUAACCAGGUACGAUGCCCCGAAGUUCGCCUCCGCCUCAUCCACCACCCAUUGAGCCAGUGGAAGCAGUGGAGAGACCCCAGUGCCCAACACCCUCUCCCCAGGUUUAGGUGACCCUAGCCAUGCUAGUGAUGGGAAUGGAGGGGCAUGUAUGAUGCACCAUGACUUCCACAAGCUGUCUGUUCAAGCCAGGCCUACCACACCACCACUUCCACCAUGGGGGGGCCCUGACGUCCGGCCUCUGCCCAUGCUUGGGGAGGGUUCCCAGGCACAGCUCCAGCCACAAACGGCCUCCCCCUGGAUGUCUCUCUCCAACCCGCUCUACAGAGAGUCUAUGAUGACUUCUCACAACUGUGCCAACACAGCCUCCUCCUCUUCUUCCUCCUUCGCUCCAGUCUUCCCUCCACCCUGCCCUGCGCUAACUGUUGCUACAUCCAGGGCCCUACAGCUCCCACUACCUCACGGCUGCCCCAAAGAGGAUAGGCUAGUCCAGAGAGACUCUACUACCUCCAUCCCCUCUAUACACCCACAAAGAGAGAUCUAAAUUGACAAAUAAAGGUAUCCUGCAUUUUAUGUGGAUUUUUUCUCUGUUAAUCAGUUAUUUUCUCUGCUAAUCCGUACGUUAUUCACAUCUACCAGCUGCAAUAUUAUGUUUACAUCCCAAAUGGCACUAUUCCCUAUAUAGUACAGUUAUUUUGACCAGAGCCCUAUACACCCUUCUCAAAAGUGCCAUUUGGGAAGCUUAUGUCUGUGUUCAUUCAACCAACUUUAAUUAAAAUUACACUUCCUUUGCCAACAGGUGGCAGCAGAGUCAGCUAGUGGGUGGGGCUUUCUACGUGGUUGUCUGGAUGUGUAGCUAGUGGGGGGGGGGCUUAC
Molecule: long non-coding RNA, 2402 nt
Organism: Oncorhynchus masou masou (cherry salmon)
Lineage: Eukaryota; Metazoa; Chordata; Actinopteri; Salmoniformes; Salmonidae
Exons: 4
Source: RefSeq, a predicted model, not a curated record